Molecule: ribosomal RNA, 465 nt
Filed under: Vreelandella stevensii
Lineage: Bacteria; Pseudomonadati; Pseudomonadota; Gammaproteobacteria; Oceanospirillales; Halomonadaceae
Description: partial 16S ribosomal RNA
Rfam family: Bacterial small subunit ribosomal RNA
Source: RNAcentral
CCUACGGGAGGCAGCAGUGGGGAAUAUUGGACAAUGGGGGGAACCCUGAUCCAGCCAUGCCGCGUGUGUGAAGAAGGCCCUCGGGUUGUAAAGCACUUUCAGUGAGGAAGAACGCCUGGUGGUUAAUACCCAUCAGGAAAGACAUCACUCACAGAAGAAGCACCGGCUAACUCCGUGCCAGCAGCCGCGGUAAUACGGAGGGUGCGAGCGUUAAUCGGAAUUACUGGGCGUAAAGCGCGCGUAGGUGGCUUGAUAAGCCGGUUGUGAAAGCCCCGGACUCAACCUGGGAACGGCAUCCGGAACUGUCAAGCUAGAGUGCAGGAGAGGAAGGUAGAAUUCCCGGUGUAGCGGUGAAAUGCGUAGAGAUCGGGAGGAAUACCAGUGGCGAAGGCGGCCUUCUGGACUGACACUGACACUGAGGUGCGAAAGCGUGGGUAGCAAACAGGAUUAGAUACCCGAGUAGUC